This 532-nucleotide ribosomal RNA is filed under the name Enterobacter cloacae. Its description in RNAcentral is "bacterial SSU rRNA". It matches the Rfam family "Bacterial small subunit ribosomal RNA", at positions 558 to 1090 of the family's 1533-position model. The record is from RNAcentral. Lineage: Bacteria; Pseudomonadati; Pseudomonadota; Gammaproteobacteria; Enterobacterales; Enterobacteriaceae.
GCGUAAGCGCACGCAGGCGGUCUGUCAAGUCGGAUGUGAAAUCCCCGGGCUCAACCUGGGAACUGCAUUCGAAACUGGCAGGCUAGAGUCUUGUAGAGGGGGGUAGAAUUCCAGGUGUAGCGGUGAAAUGCGUAGAGAUCUGGAGGAAUACCGGUGGCGAAGGCGGCCCCCUGGACAAAGACUGACGCUCAGGUGCGAAAGCGUGGGGAGCAAACAGGAUUAGAUACCCUGGUAGUCCACGCCGUAAACGAUGUCGACUUGGAGGUUGUGCCCUUGAGGCGUGGCUUCCGGAGCUAACGCGUUAAGUCGACCGCCUGGGGAGUACGGCCGCAAGGUUAAAACUCAAAUGAAUUGACGGGGGCCCGCACAAGCGGUGGAGCAUGUGGUUUAAUUCGAUGCAACGCGAAGAACCUUACCUACUCUUGACAUCCAGAGAACUUAGCAGAGAUGCUUUGGUGCCUUCGGGAACUCUGAGACAGGUGCUGCAUGGCUGUCGUCAGCUCGUGUUGUGAAAUGUUGGGUUAAGUCCCGC